GACGAACGCUGGCGGCGUGCUUAACACAUGCAAGUCGAACGGAAAGGCCCUGCUUUUGUGGGGUGCUCGAGUGGCGAACGGGUGAGUAACACGUGAGUAACCUGCCCUUGACUUUGGGAUAACUUCAGGAAACUGGGGCUAAUACCGGAUAGGAGCUCCUGCUGCAUGGUGGGGGUUGGAAAGUUUCGGCGGUUGGGGAUGGACUCGCGGCUUAUCAGCUUGUUGGUGGGGUAGUGGCUUACCAAGGCUUUGACGGGUAGCCGGCCUGAGAGGGUGACCGGCCACAUUGGGACUGAGAUACGGCCCAGACUCCUACGGGAGGCAGCAGUGGGGAAUAUUGCACAAUGGGCGGAAGCCUGAGGCAGCAACGCCGCGUGCGGGAGGACGGCCUUCGGGUUGUAAACCGCUUUCGCCUGUGACGAAGCGUGAGUGACGGUAAUGGGUAAAGAAGCACCGGCUAACUACGU
Molecule: ribosomal RNA, 467 nt
Filed under: uncultured bacterium
Lineage: Bacteria
Description: partial 16S ribosomal RNA
Rfam family: Bacterial small subunit ribosomal RNA
Source: RNAcentral